AAUAUUGGACAAUGGGCGAAAGCCUGAUGCAGCAACGCCGCGUGAGUGAAGAAGGUUUUCGGAUCGUAAAACUCUGUCAUUGGGGAAGAAUAAAUGACGGUACCCAAUGAGGAAGCCCCGGCUAACUACGUGCCAGCAGCCGCGGUAAUACGUAGGGGGCGAGCGUUGUCCGGAAUUACUGGGCGUAAAGGGUGCGCAGGCGGCCGAUUAAGUCAGAUGUGAAAUACCACGGCUCAACUGUGGGGGUGCAUUUGAAACUGGUUGGCUUGAGUGCAGGAGAGGAAAGUGGAAUUCCUAGUGUAGCGGUGAAAUGCGUAGAGAUUAGGAGGAACACCAGUGGCGAAGGCGACUUUCUGGACUGUAACUGACGCUGAGGCACGAAAGCGUGGGUAGCGAACA
This 399-nucleotide ribosomal RNA is filed under the name uncultured bacterium. RNAcentral's name for it is "partial 16S ribosomal RNA". It matches the Rfam family "Bacterial small subunit ribosomal RNA", at positions 360 to 774 of the family's 1533-position model. The record is from RNAcentral.